RNAcentral lists this long non-coding RNA (3605 nucleotides) under Sus scrofa (pig). RNAcentral describes it as "lncRNA (ENSSSCG00030007893.1)". Lineage: Eukaryota; Metazoa; Chordata; Mammalia; Artiodactyla; Suidae. The record is from RNAcentral.
GGCAGGUGAGGCCGCGUGGGGCCAGCGGCGGCUCCUUGCUGGUCUGUGGCUCUGGGCCCAAGACCCGAGCCUCCUACAGGGGCGGCCCCCUGCCUGAGGCGCGGGUGGGUUCCGACCUCCGAGAGCCGGUCUGGAAGCACUGAGGGGCCCCUACUUUUGCCCCCGAAGUCAGCGGGGCAACAGCCGCUCCCUUGCAGGAGCCGGGCCGUGGGCGGAGGGCCCCGGUGGGUGAGAUCGGUGACCCCCGAAAACUCCGACCAAAGAGCUGCAGCAAGAAAGGAGUUGGUUCCCACAAACCGCCCAGAGUCAAGUUCUGGAGGCUGAGAAGUUCAAGAUCAAGGUGCUGGCAGAUUUGACGUCUGGAAGAUAUGCUCCAUCGAAACAUGGAAAUGAAGUAAGAAAGAGCAAGACCUAGAUCCAAGAAACAUAGAGCCGACGAGUCUCCAGGAUGCAUUAAAUGGAGACUCAAGUUGUGAGCAGUACCUGAAAGGAAGCAACAUGUCCAGAAUGGAACAGAUCGCAAAGUUCCAGGAAGGAUUUCUUCAGGAAAAUUAAAUUGAUAGAAUACUUAAUUUGAAUCUCUUGAGGAAACUUGCACACAUUGGGAAGAAUUUGGAUUAAAUUAGCAACAAGUCCAUAAAAAUGGCCACAUCCAUGGAAUAUGGUGAUUCCUAGACUAGGGGUCGAAUCAGAGCUGUAGGCACUGGUCUACGUCACAGCAACACAGGAUCCAAACCACAUCUGUGACCUACACCACAGCUCACAGCAACACUGGAUCCUUAACCCACUGAGCAAGGGCAGGGAUUGAACCCACGUCCUUAUGGAUACUAGUCAUAUUCGUUUACCACUGAGCCACGACAGGAAUUCCUAUAUAAAAUUUUAAAAUAUUUUAAUCCUCCAGCUUUCUGUUCACUUAUUAGUCGUAUAUUCUUUUACUUAUUGUGGUUAUCCUAGAGAUUGUAACUUGUAUCAAUAUAUAAAGUCUAAUAUAAAUUAGCACUUUUAUCUCUUCCUGGACAAUUUAAAGACUUUUGAAAAAUCCUGUUUACCAUUCUUACAGUUUUCUAUUGUUGUCAUAUAUUUUAAUUAUCUCUAUAUUUUAAUCUCCACAAUACAUUUUGACAGUUGUUUUCUGCAAUCAGUUUUGACCUGGUUUACUCACGUAUUUAUCUGUUUUUUUGCUCUUCAUUCCUCUACAUUUCUAAAUUUCCACUGCAAUAAUUUUCCUUCUGCUUAAUGAACAUCAGCUAAUCUCAUUUUUUUCUCCAAGAAUCUGUUUAUCUUACUUCCUUUUUUAAAUAAUGCUUUUUCUGGGAAUAGAAUUCUAGGCUGGGAUUUUUUUUCUUUUUCUUUUCUUUUCUUUCUUUUUUUUUUUUUUUUUUUUUUUUUUUUUUUUUUUUUUUUUUUNAAAAUAUUGUUUCAUUGUCUUCCAGCUUCCACUGCUUUUGUUAACUGGAUGUUCCUUUGAAGACAAUCUGUCAUUUUUCUCUUUCUCUUUGUCCUUGUAUUUAGUACUUAUAUUGAUAUGCCUAGGCCUGUAUGUGUGUGAAUUUUAUCUUGUAUGUAAUUUAUAAUAUGACUGAAUCUGUAGCUUGGCAUAUUUCAUCAUUUUUAGAAAAAAAUUAAAGCAUUAUUUCUUCAAAUAUUACUUCUGUCCAAUUUUCCUUCUUCGCCCCAUGUCUUCUGUAUUUCUUGCAGAAAGAACAAGCUACAAGAAAGAACAGAAAAAAAAUAUAUUCUUUUUUACUCUUUUUCUUUAUUGCUUCCUUUAGGAUGUUUUUAUCUGAUCUGUCUUCCAAUUCACUAAUUCUCUUUUCAACUAUUUUUAUUCUAUUGUUAGAUCUAUUCAUUGGGGUUUUCAUAAAAGUUACUGUUUUCACUUUUCAGAAUUUUUCUAUUCUUUCUUAUAGCUUCCAGUUCUUUAUUAGAAUUCUGUCUUGAGAAUUUUUUUUGAACAUAUGAAGUGUAAUAAUUUAAAGUCUAUCUUUGAUAAUUCUAUCAUUUUGAUCUCUAUUUUCACUUUUUCUUGUUUUUCAUCAUGUUUUCAUAUGAUUGGUUAUCUUUUUUUUCAGGGGCACACCCACAGCAUAUGAAAGUUCCCAGACUAGAGGUCAAAUCAGAGCUGCAGCUCACAGCAACACUGGAUCCUUAACACGCUGAAUAGGGCCAGGGAUCAAACCCACAUCUUCAUGGACACUAGUCAGGUUUGUUACCGCAGAGCCACAGUGGGAAUACCUGCUUGGUUAUCUUUUAUUGAAUGCCAGGCAUUUUUAUGUGAAAGCUUGUGCGGAUACUUUGAGGUCUAAAAUGAGGUUGUCCUGCUCCAAUGAAAAUUUGAGUUUCUUUCUAGAAGAUUGCUAAAGGCAUUGGCAAUAUUGGAUUGCCUUAAUCCCUUAGAGGGCUGAGAAAAUUCCAGCUGAGCCUUCAUCUCUGAGGGCUUGUCUAUUUCCAGCUCAUUCUUUACUCCUAGGAUUUAGCAUUUAUGAUCUCAGUCUAAAAAACCUGGAGGAUAUCCUAAACACCCUCCUCAUUGGUGAAGACUGAAGUCCAGUUUGGUCUGUUGGUCUUAUAUGUCUACAAGAAGCUUUGAUCAUCUAUUUAGUCACCUCUUCCAAAAUCAGCAGAUGAAUGAGAGGAAUAUAGCCUCAAAUUCCUUACGUCUCUAGGUUUCUUUCCCUGAUAAUGUUCUCACUAUUUUUUACUGUUUUGUUAUCUCUUUGAUAAUUUCAAGCAGAUUUUUGAAAAUAUUUUUGCUAAGCGUUUCAGCACGUUCUUAGUGAAAAGAUUGGUCCCAAUUAGAAAGUUUGCCAUUAAAUACGGCCCACAGAGAUAAUUUUAAUCUACCACUCUUCUGUAUCCUUUAUGCAGGAAUACAUAUAGAUGCAAUAAAGUUUUAUAAAGGAAUGACAAACAAAAGAUUCAGGACCAUGGUUAACUUAGAUAAAGGGAGGGAGAAAGGUGGAUUGGUUGUGGAUAGGGAGAAAAAAGAAUUAUGUAAGAAAGAAAAUAUAAUCAUAGUUUAUUAUGUGGUGAUAACAUUUAAUAGUGUAAGUACUGAGUAGUGAUCUAACUGAAAUCAUGAUAGGGCCAAAUUUGGGGAUUAAAAGUAUGUAUUUGUGUGGAGACACAGAGAGCAAGAGAUAACUGGAUCCUCAUCUUCUGUAUUGGGAAAUCAAUAGAUAACGCCUAAAAUGGGAACUAAGAAAGUAAACAAGAGAAUAUGCUACAAGAGUUCAAAAUGAUUGCCUGGAGAUGUGUUGUGGGAUUGGGAGUGAGAAAUGAAGUUUAUGGUAUGGUUUUUAAAGCUUCUUGACUCUUUAAACUUUUUAUAAAAAUCUCUAACUUUGGGAGUUCCCCUCAUGGCACAAUGGAAACGAAUCUGACUAGGAACCAUGAGGUACCAGGUUCUAUCCCUGGCCUCGCUCAGUAGGUUAAGGAUCCAGUGUUGCCAUGAGCUGUGGUGUAAGCGAAAGAUGUGGCUCAGAUCUGGCAUUGCUCUGGCUCUGGCAUAGGCCAGCAGCAACAGCUCUGAUUAGACCCUUAGCCUGGGAACCUCCAUAUGCCGCAGGUGUGGCCUUAAAAAGAAAAAGGAAAAAAAAAAAAAA